AGAGUUUGAUCAUGGCUCAGGAUGAACGCUGGCGGUCUGCUUAACACAUGCAAGUCGAACGAAUUCCUUCGGGAAUUAGUGGCGGACGGGUGAGUAACGCGUGAGAAUCUGCCUUUUGGUCGGGGACAACCACUGGAAACGGUGGCUAAUACCGGAUAAGCCUGCGGGUAAAAGAUUAAUUGCCAAGAGAAGAGCUCGCGUCUGAUUAGCUAGUUGGUGAGGUAAAGGCUCACCAAGGCGGCGAUCAGUAGCUGGUCUGAGAGGAUGAUCAGCCACACUGGGACUGAGACACGGCCCAGACUCCUACGGGAGGCAGCAGUGGGGAAUUUUCCGCAAUGGGCGAAAGCCUGACGGAGCAAGACCGCGUGAGGGAGGAAGGCUCUUGGGUUGUAAACCCCUUUUCUCUGGGAAGAAAGUUGUGAAAGCAACCUGACGGUACCAGAGGAAUCAGCAUCGGCUAACUCCGUGCCAGCAGCCGCGGUAAUACGGAGGAUGCAAGCGUUAUCCGGAAUUAUUGGGCGUAAAGCGUCCGCAGGUGGCACUUCAAGUCUGUCGUCAAAGACCGGGGCUUAACCCUGGAAAGGCGAUGGAAACUGAAAGGCUAGAGAGAGGUAGGGGUAGAGGGAAUUCCCAGUGUAGCGGUGAAAUGCGUAGAGAUUGGGAAGAACAUCGGUGGCGAAAGCGCUCUACUGGACCUCAUCUGACACUCAGGGACGAAAGCUAGGGGAGCGAAUGGGAUUAGAUACCCCAGUAGUCC
RNAcentral lists this ribosomal RNA (757 nucleotides) under uncultured cyanobacterium. RNAcentral's name for it is "bacterial SSU rRNA". It matches the Rfam family "Bacterial small subunit ribosomal RNA", at positions 8 to 796 of the family's 1533-position model. The record is from RNAcentral. Lineage: Bacteria; Bacillati; Cyanobacteriota.